RNAcentral lists this ribosomal RNA (318 nucleotides) under uncultured eukaryote. RNAcentral describes it as "partial 18S ribosomal RNA". It matches the Rfam family "Eukaryotic small subunit ribosomal RNA", at positions 1470 to 1796 of the family's 1831-position model. The record is from RNAcentral.
CCCUUAGAUGUUCUGGGCCGCACGCGUGCUACACUGAGUGGAUCAGCGGGUCAGGUUGCGCGAAAGUGUUUCCUAAUCUUGAAAUCCGCUCGUGAUGGGGAUUGACGGUUGCAAUUUUCCGUCAUGAACGAGGAAUACCUUGUAAGCGCGGGUCAUCAUCCCGCGCUGAAUACGUCCCUGCCCUUUGUACACACCGCCCGUCGCUCCUACCGAUUGAAUGUUCCGGUGAGCUCUUCGGACUGCGCGGUCUGCAGUUUCUGCGUUCCGUGCGGAAAGUUGUGCAAACCUUAACAUUUAGAGGAAGGAGAAGUCGUAACA